UGCAGUCGAACGCACUCUCGUUAGAUUGAAGAAGCUUGCUUCUGAUUGAUAACAUUUGAGUGAGUGGCGGACGGGUGAGUAACACGUGGGUAACCUGCCCUAAAGUGGGGGAUAACAUUUGGAAACAGAUGCUAAUACCGCAUAAAACCUAGCACCGCAUGGUGCAAGGUUGAAAGAUGGUUUCGGCUAUCACUUUAGGAUGGACCCGCGGUGCAUUAGUUAGUUGGUGAGGUAAAGGCUCACCAAGACCGUGAUGCAUAGCCGACCUGAGAGGGUAAUCGGCCACACUGGGACUGAGACACGGCCCAGACUCCUACGGGAGGCAGCAGUAGGGAAUCUUCCACAAUGGACGAAAGUCUGAUGGAGCAACGCCGCGUGAGUGAAGAAGGUUUUCGGAUCGUAAAACUCUGUUGUUGGAGAAGAACGUAUUUGAUAGUAACUGAUCAGGUAGUGACGGUAUCCAACCAGAAAGCCACGGCUAACUACGUGCCAGCAGCCGCGGUAAUACGUAGGUGGCAAGCGUUGUCCGGAUUUAUUGGGCGUAAAGCGAGCGCAGGCGGUUUCUUAAGUCUGAUGUGAAAGCCUUCGGCUCAACCGAAGAAGUGCAUCGGAAACUGGGAAACUUGAGUGCAGAAGAGGACAGUGGAACUCCAUGUGUAGCGGUGAAAUGCGUAGAUAUAUGGAAGAACACCAGUGGCGAAGGCGGCUGUCUGGUCUGUAACUGACGCUGAGGCUCGAAAGCAUGGGUAGCAAACAGGAUUAGAUACCCUGGUAGUCCAUGCCGUAAACGAUGAGUGCUAGGUGUUGGAGGGUUUCCGCCCUUCAGUGCCGCAGCUAACGCAUUAAGCACUCCGCCUGGGGAGUACGACCGCAAGGUUGAAACUCAAAGGAAUUGACGGGGGCCCGCACCACCGGUGGAGCAUGUGGUUUAAUUCUAAUCAACGCGAAGAACCUUACCAGGUCUUGACGUCCUUUGACCACUCUAGAGAUAGAGCUUUCCCUUCGGGGACAAAGUGACAAGUAGUUGCAUGGUUGUCGUCAGCUCGUGUCCUGGAAAGUUGGG
Molecule: ribosomal RNA, 1063 nt
Filed under: Latilactobacillus curvatus
Lineage: Bacteria; Bacillati; Bacillota; Bacilli; Lactobacillales; Lactobacillaceae
Description: bacterial SSU rRNA
Rfam family: Bacterial small subunit ribosomal RNA
Source: RNAcentral